RNAcentral lists this ribosomal RNA (733 nucleotides) under Pseudonocardia sp. YIM 65798. RNAcentral describes it as "bacterial SSU rRNA". It matches the Rfam family "Bacterial small subunit ribosomal RNA", at positions 56 to 803 of the family's 1533-position model. Lineage: Bacteria; Bacillati; Actinomycetota; Actinomycetes; Pseudonocardiales; Pseudonocardiaceae. The record is from RNAcentral.
UGCAAGUCGAGCGGUAAGGCCCUUUCGGGGGUACACGAGCGGCGAACGGGUGAGUAACACGUGGGUGACCUGCCCUCCACUCUGGGAUAAGCCCGGGAAACUGGGUCUAAUACCGGAUAGGACCAUUGAUCGCAUGGUUGGUGGUGGAAAGUUUUUUCGGUGGGGGAUGGGCCCGCGGCCUAUCAGCUUGUUGGUGGGGUGAUGGCCUACCAAGGCGGUGACGGGUAGCCGGCCUGAGAGGGCGACCGGCCACACUGGGACUGAGACACGGCCCAGACUCCUACGGGAGGCAGCAGUGGGGAAUAUUGCGCAAUGGGCGGAAGCCUGACGCAGCGACGCCGCGUGGGGGAUGACGGCCUUCGGGUUGUAAACCUCUUUCGCCAGGGACGAAGAGCAAUUGACGGUACCUGGAGAAGAAGCACCGGCCAACUACGUGCCAGCAGCCGCGGUAACACGUAGGGUGCGAGCGUUGUCCGGAAUUAUUGGGCGUAAAGAGCUCGUAGGCGGUGUGUCGCGUCGGCCGUGAAAACUUGGGGCUUAACUCUGAGCGUGCGGUCGAUACGGGCAUCACUUGAGUUCGGCAGGGGAGACUGGAAUUCCUGGUGUAGCGGUGAAAUGCGCAGAUAUCAGGAGGAACACCGGUGGCGAAGGCGGGUCUCUGGGCCGAUACUGACGCUGAGGAGCGAAAGCGUGGGGAGCGAACAGGAUUAGAUACCCUGGUAGUCCACGCCGU